This is a long non-coding RNA of Amphiprion ocellaris (clown anemonefish), 3352 nucleotides long. The record is from Ensembl. NCBI's taxonomy places the organism in Eukaryota, Metazoa, Chordata, Actinopteri, Pomacentridae.
UUUUGCUUUUAUUUAUUUGUCUUUUAUUUAUUUUUCCUGAUUGAAAUGUAUUGUAAGGUCAUAAUUUGUCAUUCAUCACAUUACAUGGCAUGAUGCACCAAGUCUACUACACCCACUUACAGGAGGAAUACACGGAAACAUACACAAGGUUUUACAAUGGGGAAACAGGAAGUUUAGCUCAUUGCACUUACAACAGUGAAUGGAACACUUUGUAGUCAUUUUUAGGCUCUCAACCUUUCUCUGUAUUUUAUUUUCACCCUUUUACUUCAUUCAAUUUGGGUUAUAAUUGUUUUUUCUUAAAAACACAUCUCCAUUGUCCAGUUCACCUUCUCUCUCUCUCCAUCUCCAUCUCCCACAAAAAUAAAAGUAAAUCACCCCCCGAAAAAUUACAUGGAAGCCAGAAUAUUUUUCCCUUUUUUUUUUGUAGUUUUUGAUGUCAUCUCGUUUUACAAACACAACAUGUAUAGAAACUCUACACAGACCAAUAUGUUUUUAUGAUUUUUUUCCAUAUCCGAAUACAACUUUUUAAAAAUGUUUUAAAUGAACAGUCCGCACGAGCCAGCCACAUACGUACACAAUGGCAUUUAUUAUUCAAAUUAACAACUGCUCUUGUUUGUUUAUGUGUUGUUUUUUUUAAUUAUUAUACACAAAAAGCACAAGUUUCCGGGGGCAGGGAGUUGUGGGCUUGCAUACACUCCAGUUCGUGUCGCCGUCUGGUGUGCAAAGGCUUUUUCGCGUGCCUCUUGUGCAUGUGUGUUGUGUUUGUGUUAGCAUGUUUGAGAUUUACAUGUUGUACAGGACCUUCAUGGCAUUUACAUAUUUGUUUGGUCGACUCUGGUCGGUCUGGUAUUUACACUGGAAAAAAUAUGGCAGCCCGUGAGGUGGGAGGUCGAGGAGGGUUUGGGGGAGUUGGGUCGGGUCGGGUCGGGGUCCAGCUCAUGCAAUUUUACUUUUUGAUGAUUCAUUACAGGUGAAGGAUGAUUAAACGCUCCCUGAUGGUGAAAUAUGGACUCGGUAACUUUUCUCUUGUGGUUUUCUUCUUUUACAACCUCUCACCCAUGAAACAUUGACUUCCUAUAUAUUUAUAUUUAUAUAUUUAUAUACUUUAGUGUUUGAAAACCGUUUUUUUCUCUCGGGUCCUGCUAUACAUCGACUGUCUUUAUUUAUGACCAACAGCAAGAGCAGUGGUGACACUUUUACUACACUACGCUCUGUACAAGCACUGCAUGCUACCUUUUUGGUUUAGAACACACACAUACAAACACACACACACACACACACACACACACACACACACACACACACACACACACACACACACACACACACACACACACACACACAGUCUGGAUUUCCCAAAGUAUUUUUAAGCUGCAUUUAAAUACAGGAGGAGCUGUUUGUCUUUACUCUUUAUGGCGCGCUCUACUUCUUAAUGUCAUGGCUAAAUCUGAUCCACGAAAAGAGCCAGUUCGUGUGACUGUGCAUAAAUGCAGCCUUAUUGCUGAUGUCAGAUUCACAGACGAGUCAAACCGUCUUAAAAUUUGCUUCUUUUAAAGAUCUCUUGGAAGCAACCUCUUACGGUUCUCGUCUUUGAAUCUGUCAAUCUUCUAUUGCAAGAGUUUUGUACCAAAGCGUCCAAAUGUUGAGAAAAAUGUUGAUUUUUCUGAUAUUAAUCUCAAUUUGGAACACAACUUUUGUCCAUUUUAUUUAUUUGUCUACCUUUUGUGCUUCAAACACCUCUGAAAAACGCAGGCUGUGAGCUGAUUCCGGAGAUUUUGCCCCACUGGUGAUUGCUGUGGUCUGAACAGAAGUCGCCCGUUACAUUUCCUGGAAAUAGACAGACACCAUGCAGAGUAUAGACAGAGACCACGACUGGCUGGAGGGCAGUAACAGGAUGGCUUUCUUCACUGACCAGUAUUGUGGUAUUAAAGCCCUUGCUGCUAUGCAUAUUUUAGUCACCUUCAGUGGCUGUAUUCACGCAGGAGCAAAAAAAACCAAAACAAAACAAAAAAGAAGUUUUGAUACAGUUCUUGUUCUUCAUCUUUAGAAUAUUUUAAAUAUUUCUGACUCCCUUCCUUUGCAAUCUGAUUUCUUGCACCUGCAUAAACACAUCCAUCACUAUUCUCCGUUGUCUUUUGAACACCUCCGCCGCGAUGCUGCAUUUAGUGUGUGCUUUCCUGAGGCAAAAAGUGAUUGAGGAUUAUUUUAUUGAACAUUUUAUGUUUUUUACAAACUCCCAUAAACAUACGACACACAACAGAGAACGUCGGCAUUCAUUUUGGGUGACUUUAAUCUCUCUCCCGUGUUGUUUGUUCUGGUUUGACGCCUCAUUUUUUAAGCUUUUCGUCUUAAAAGUCGACACUCUGGUGGAAGUGAAGUGAUGUCUGUUUGGGCCACGGAGGAAUUAACAGACUGAACUCGGAUCCACACAGAACCAGAAUAAUCAGAUCCUUAAUCCUGCAGCUAGAUUUACCUGUGAAGAGGCCAAAAAAGGAGAAAAAAUUGAACAAUCACUAUGACUUCGAGUUUAAAAUAGGCCCAGGUGAAACCGUUUUAAAACUGCCAAUCAAUUCAACGUACAUUUCUUAUUUAACUAUACUAUUCAAAAAUGUUUUUCUGUUUACUUUUAUUCAGUUUAACAAUCUGAUUAUUAUAGUUGUGCAUAAAUCCAGCAAAAGAUAACUUCUGUAUAAUUUCUUAUUCUCUGUCUAUAGAAAUUUAAAAUGUAAAUCUCUUUCUAAAUGCCAGCUAACUUUCUAUCCUUUCUCAGUAUGAUAAAAAUAAAUUAUUACAUAGAUGAUCUGAUAAACAUUUCACAAAAAAUAUAUAUAUACUAAUUUCUUUUACACAGAUUUAGUGACUUGGGAGACCCUGCACAUGAAAAAAGGACUUAUAGGUUAAGGGAUAUUUUCAUACUUUAUAAACCACCAUUUAAAAUCUGAAUUUCCAUAAAUAGCAUCUUUUUAAUUGCUUAGCUAUAUAGUGUGCUGCUACCAAACUGCAAACACAAAAAAGACUGAUGGUAAAUUUGCAGAUGAUUUGCUUCUGAGGUACAGAAAUUUGACGUUACACAGUGUAUUUAGCUUAUAAAUCUUGUUGUUUAGCGUGCCAUGGCAGUGCACCUUUAAACGCUCUCACACACAUUCACACACACAACCAUUCAAACUCUCUCUUAUGCCACAAAUUCAGUUUAGGAAUGCCUGAAUAGUGCUUCACUAGUAGCAGUUUCCUUCGUCGUAUAUAAUCUGUAAUUUUAUUAAGUAUAUAAUAAGUAUGCAUUUGUAUUUUAACCACUUUCAACAUUCUUGGAGCUUCGAUCAGUGCAGAAACAACAACUGCACAAACAAGUUUC